RNAcentral lists this ribosomal RNA (253 nucleotides) under uncultured bacterium. RNAcentral describes it as "partial 16S ribosomal RNA". It matches the Rfam family "Bacterial small subunit ribosomal RNA", at positions 524 to 776 of the family's 1533-position model. The record is from RNAcentral.
UACGUAGGUGGCAAGCGAUACUCGGAAUCACUAGGCGUAAAGCGCAGGUAGGAGGUUUGGAAAGUCUCUUGUGAAAGCUCCCGGCUUAACUGGGAGAGGUCAAGGGAAACUGCCAGGCUAGAGUGCGGUAGAGGUAGCUGGAAUUCCCGGUGUAGCGGUGAAAUGCGUAGAUAUCGGGAGGAAUACCUAUGGCGAAAGCAGGCUACUGGACCGUCACUGACUCUGAUCUGCGAAAGCUAGGGGAGCAAACAGG